RNAcentral lists this ribosomal RNA (402 nucleotides) under uncultured bacterium. RNAcentral's name for it is "bacterial SSU rRNA". It matches the Rfam family "Bacterial small subunit ribosomal RNA", at positions 355 to 774 of the family's 1533-position model. The record is from RNAcentral.
UAGGGAAUAUUGGUAAUGUGCGAAAGCGCGAACCAGCAACGCCGCGUGCACGAUGAAGGCCUUCGGGUCGUAAAGUGCUUUUAGAGAGGAUGAGGAAGGACAGUACUUUCUGAAUAAGCCUCGGCUAACUACGUGCCAGCAGCCGCGGUAAAACGUAGGAGGCUAGCGUUAUCCGGAUUUACUGGGCGUAAAGCGCAUGCAGGUGGUUUUGUAAGUUGGAUGUGAAAGCUCCUGGCUUUACUGGGAGAGGUCGUUCAAAACUACAAGACUUGAGAUUGGUAGAGGAAAAUGGAAUUCAGGGUGUAGUGGUGAAAUGCGUAGAUAUCCGGAGGAACACCAGUGGCGAAAGCGGUUUUCUGGACCAAUUCUGACACUCAGAUGCGAAAGCUAAGGUAGCAAACG